GACGUUAGCGGCGGACGGGUGAGUAACACGUGGAUAACCUACCUAUAAGACUGGGAUAACUUCGGGAAACCGGAGCUAAUACCGGAUAAUAUAUUGAACCGCAUGGUUCAAUAGUGAAAGACGGUUUUGCUGUCACUUAUAGAUGGAUCCGCGCCGCAUUAGCUAGUUGGUAAGGUAACGGCUUACCAAGGCAACGAUGCGUAGCCGACCUGAGAGGGUGAUCGGCCACACUGGAACUGAGACACGGUCCAGACUCCUACGGGAGGCAGCAGUAGGGAAUCUUCCGCAAUGGGCGAAAGCCUGACGGAGCAACGCCGCGUGAGUGAUGAAGGUCUUCGGAUCGUAAAACUCUGUUAUUAGGGAAGAACAAAUGUGUAAGUAACUAUGCACGUCUGACGGUAC
This 402-nucleotide ribosomal RNA is filed under the name uncultured bacterium. RNAcentral describes it as "bacterial SSU rRNA". It matches the Rfam family "Bacterial small subunit ribosomal RNA", at positions 88 to 478 of the family's 1533-position model. The record is from RNAcentral.